Molecule: long non-coding RNA, 759 nt
Filed under: Numida meleagris (helmeted guineafowl)
Lineage: Eukaryota; Metazoa; Chordata; Aves; Galliformes; Numididae
Description: lncRNA (ENSNMEG00000002372.1)
Source: RNAcentral
GCAGGCCCUGGUUUCUCUGAUGUUGGAUAACCCUGCUGUUCUGCUGAGGGUCUCUUAUCCAAACAGAACAGCCUUACAACACGCUUUCCAGCCCAUAAUGCUAUACCCACACUAUUCGCAACAUUUAAAAACUAUUGCAGUUUUGCAAAUCACAUCCAGCCCGGCCUUGAACACCUCCAGGGACGGGGCAUCCACAGCCUCUCUGGGCAGCCUGUGCCAGCACCUCACCGCUCUCUCGGUCGCUGCGGCUGUUUGGUUUUUAGUCCCAUCUCCCUUGGCCAUCCUAGCGAGGACCUCACGUGGAUCGACUGCAACGAAGGAUCCUGGCAGAGAGACAUCUGCUCGUCCUUGGAUAGAGAUGAGUGUGGAAGGAGGACAGAGGGAGCAUCCCGAUGCCGGCCUGCUGCAUCCCAACCUGUACACACACCCAACACCUCUACGCUGCCACGGGGGAAGGAGAUCGACUGAGCCCUUCUGUGCACCGAGAGGCGAUGAUGCGCAAAGGAGAUGAAGAAAAGCAGUCUCAGUGCGGUAAUGCUGGGAAGCAGCGGGAAAGGGCUGAGGGGGGAGAAAAGAGCCCGAGGCCACGGGAGGGUCCCCGGGCAGUCAGUGCCGAGGGCCGUGGGCGCAGGAAGGCGGAGUGCUCGUCCAGAAGGAAGAGGCGGAGGCGCGGGAGCAGCGGUCCCGUCCCCGUGUGCCGCGAGCUGAGGCGGAGGGAAGAGAGCGGCGGGAGCGAGCGGGGAGCUUGGCUGAGAGUGC